AAUUACAACCUGGCCUGACAUCUCCUCUGUCAGGUCGCUCUCUUUUGUGUACAGGGGGUCUUCCCCUUCUUUUGCAAUGAAAGGCUAUGAUUUAAUCUUCAAAAAAAAAAAAUGGACUACAGGCAAUCCCUUUAGUACAACGUUUCCAGGACUAUUCUCUUUAGCGGUUGGCAAGGGGAUUAGAGUAGCAGAGGCAUGGAACAAGGAGGACAAAGGAAUCUGCAUUUUCAAAGAUAGCUUUUUGAGUGGGAAUUGAGUUCAUUGCAUGAACUUUUGUAGAAUCUCCGAGAGAUGUAUACCUUGACAGGGAGAAGGACGAUAAGCUAAGAUGGGAACUUGAUCACAACGCUCCUUCUCUAUUAGAGAUUUAUAGUCGCUCUAGAUCGUCAUGUUACACCUGAACUUGGAAAAGUUUUACAGGUUUAAAUGGAGGAGGCUAUUAUGGGUGACUCCAAUGCCUGUGGAAAUGUUCCUUAAGUCUUGUGAAGAUGCCUUGAAAAGAGGUGGUUAACAGUGUGUGGUGCCUACAUUUUGAUCAUUAUGGAUUGCAAGCAAUGAUGUUGUGUUUAAUGGUAAAAAAUGGGAUGGGGGAGAUUUUUUUUUUUUUUUGUUAAUGAUAAAGAUGAGAUCAACAUUAUGGGUUAAAGCAAUUGAAGGCAAUGGUUGUAUUGAUGAAGUCGGGUGAUGGUCUGAGCUUAGGAAUUUCCAAUAUACUUCUGUUGAAGGUAGAAAAAGAGUUUUUUGAAUUUCUCGAAAAGAAAAUGAACUGAAAUUUAAUGUUAGAAGGUUUUGUUAGGAUUAAAUUAGGCCUGGCAGGUUGUGGAGGGGUGCUAAGAGACUCAUGUGGUUCUGUGCUUGUAAUUUUCUUUAUUUUUUGGGAAUAAUGGAUUGUAAUUUUCCAAAAUUAAUGACCAUUAAAAAUGUUUUUUAA
Long non-coding RNA from Theobroma umbraticum, 931 nucleotides. RefSeq lists it as uncharacterized. The record is from RefSeq and is a predicted model, not a curated record. Lineage: Eukaryota; Viridiplantae; Streptophyta; Magnoliopsida; Malvales; Malvaceae.